This 483-nucleotide ribosomal RNA is filed under the name uncultured bacterium. RNAcentral's name for it is "partial 16S ribosomal RNA". It matches the Rfam family "Bacterial small subunit ribosomal RNA", at positions 30 to 506 of the family's 1533-position model. The record is from RNAcentral.
AUUGAACGCUGGCGGCAGGCCUAACACAUGCAAGUCGAGCGGAUGAAGGGAGCUUGCUCCUGGAUUCAGCGGCGGACGGGUGAGUAAUGCCUAGGAAUCUGCCUGGUAGUGGGGGAUAACGUCCGGAAACGGGCGCUAAUACCGCAUACGUCCUGAGGGAGAAAGUGGGGGAUCUUCGGACCUCACGCUAUCAGAUGAGCCUAGGUCGGAUUAGCUAGUUGGUGGGGUAAAGGCCUACCAAGGCGACGAUCCGUAACUGGUCUGAGAGGAGGAUCAGUCACACUGGAGAUGAGACACGGCCCAGACUCCUACGGGAGGCAGCAGUGGGGAAUAUUGGACAAUGGGCGAAAGCCUGAUCCAGCCAUGCCGCGGGUGUGAAGAAGGUCUUCGGAUUGUAAAGCACUUUAAGUUGGGAGGAAGGGCAGUAAGUUAAGACCUUGCUGUUUUGACGUUACCAACAGAAUAAGCACCGGCUAACUUCGU